This 375-nucleotide ribosomal RNA is filed under the name uncultured bacterium. Its description in RNAcentral is "bacterial SSU rRNA". It matches the Rfam family "Bacterial small subunit ribosomal RNA", at positions 524 to 898 of the family's 1533-position model. The record is from RNAcentral.
UACGUAGGGGGCAAGCGUUAUCCGGAUUUACUGGGUGUAAAGGGAGCGUAGACGGUUAUGUAAGUCUGAUGUGAAAACCCGGGGCUCAACCCCGGGACUGCAUUGGAAACUAUGUAACUAGAGUGUCGGAGAGGUAAGUGGGAUUCCUAGUGUAGCGGUGAAAUGCGUAGAUAUUAGGAGGAACACCAGUGGCGAAGGCGGCUUACUGGACGAUCACUGACGUUGAGGCUCGAAAGCGUUGGGAGCAAACAGGAUUAGAUACCCUGGUAGUCCACGCCGUAAACGAUGAAUGCUAGGUGUCGGGUGGCAAAGCCAUUCGGUGCCGCAGCAAACGCAAUAAGUAUUCCACCUGGGGAGUACGGCCGCAAGGUUAAA